Molecule: ribosomal RNA, 497 nt
Filed under: uncultured bacterium
Lineage: Bacteria
Description: partial 16S ribosomal RNA
Rfam family: Bacterial small subunit ribosomal RNA
Source: RNAcentral
GAUGAACGCUGGCGGCGUGCCUAAUACAUGCGAGUCGAGCGAACGGACGAGAAGCUUGCUUCUCUGAUGUUAGCGGCGGACGGGUGAGUAACACGUGGAUAACCUACCUAUAAGACUGGGAUAACUUCGGGAAACCGUAGCUAAUACCGGAUAAUAUUUUGAACCGCAUGGUUCAAAAGUGAAAGACGGUCUUGCUGUCACUUAUAGAUGGGUCCGCGCUGCAUUAGCUAGUUGGUAAGGUAACGGCUUACCAAGGCAACGAUGCAUAGCCGACCUGAGAGGGUGAUCGGCCACACUGGAACUGAGACACGGUCCAGACUCCUACGGGAGGCAGCAGUAGGGAAUCUUCCGCAAUGGGCGAAAGCCUGACGGAGCAACGCCGCGUGAGUGAUGAAGGUCUUCGGAUCGUAAAACUCUGUUAUUAGGGAAGAACAUAUGUGUAAGUAACUGUGCACAUCUUGACGGUACCUAAUCAGAAAGCCACGGCUAACUACGUG